RNAcentral lists this ribosomal RNA (350 nucleotides) under uncultured Rhodospirillales bacterium. Its description in RNAcentral is "bacterial SSU rRNA". It matches the Rfam family "Bacterial small subunit ribosomal RNA", at positions 790 to 1139 of the family's 1533-position model. The record is from RNAcentral. Lineage: Bacteria; Pseudomonadati; Pseudomonadota; Alphaproteobacteria; Rhodospirillales.
GUAGUCCACGCCCUAAACGAUGUGUGCUCGCUAUUGGAUAGUUUACUAUUCGGUGGCUAAGCUAACGCGAUAAGCACACCGCCUGGGGAUUACGAUCGCAAGAUUAAAACUCAAAGGAAUUGACGGGGACCCGCACAAGCGGUGGAGCAUGUUGUUUAAUUCGAUGAUACGCGAGGAACCUUACCAGCCCUUGACAUAUACAUUAUGAUUUCUGGAAACAGAUUUCUUCGGUUCGGCCGGGUGUAUACAGGUGUUGCAUGGCCGUCGUCAGCUCGUGUCGUGAGAUGUUGGGUUAAGUCCCGCAACGAGCGCAACCCCUAUUGUUAGUUGCUACCAUUUAGUUGAGCACU